GACGAACGCUGGCGGCGUGCUUAACACAUGCAAGUCGAACGGAAAGGCCCGUCUUUGGGGCGGUGCUCGGGUGGCGAACGGGGGAGUAACAUGUAGGUAGCCUGCCCCUGACAGUGGUAUAACUUCAUGAAACUGGGGCUAAUAGCGGAUAGGAUCUCCGCCUGCAUGGGGGGUGGUGGAAAGUUUCGGCGUUUGGGGAUGACUCGCGUCUUAUCAGUUUGUUGGUUGGGUGGUGGGAUAGCAAGGCUAUGCCCGGUAGACGGGCUGAGAGGGUGACCGGCCAAAUUGGGACUGAGAUACGGCCCAGACUACUACGGGAGGCAGCAGUGGAGAAUAUUGCACAAUGGGCGGAAGCAUGAUGCAGCGACGCAGCGUGCGGGAUGACGGCCUUCGGGUUGUAACCCGCUUUCGCCUGUGACGAAGAGUGAAUGACGGUACUGGGUAAAGAAGCACCGGCUAACUACGUG
This 467-nucleotide ribosomal RNA is filed under the name uncultured bacterium. RNAcentral describes it as "partial 16S ribosomal RNA". It matches the Rfam family "Bacterial small subunit ribosomal RNA", at positions 28 to 507 of the family's 1533-position model. The record is from RNAcentral.